GAUGAACGCUAGCGGCAGGCCUAACACAUGCAAGUCGAGGGGUAACAUAGAGUGCUUGCACUCUGAUGACGACCGGCGCACGGGUGAGUAACGCGUAUACAAUCUGCCUCAUACUAGGGGAUAGCCCAGAGAAAUUUGGAUUAAUACCCUAUAGUAUCUUUUAGAGUCAUCUCUUUAAGAUUAAAGGUUACGGUAUGAGAUGAGUAUGCGUUCUAUUAGUUAGUAGGUGAGGUAACGGCUCACCUAGACCACGAUAGAUAGGGGCCCUGAGAGGGGGAUCCCCCACACUGGUACUGAGACACGGACCAGACUCCUACGGGAGGCAGCAGUGAGGAAUAUUAGACAAUGGGCGAAAGCCUGAUCUAGCCAUGCCGCGUGCAGGAUGACGGCCCUAUGGGUUGUAAACUGCUUUUAUACAGGAAGAAAAAACUCUACGUGUAGAGUCUUGACGGUACUGUAAGAAUAAGGAUCGGCUAACUCCGUGCCAGCAGCCGCGGUAAUACGGAGGAUCCAAGCGUUAUCCGGAAUUAUUGGGUUUAAAGGGUCCGUAGGUGGACAAUUAAGUCAGAGGUGAAAUCCUGCAGCUCAACUGUAGAAUUGCCUUUGAAACUGGUUGUCUUGAGUCAUUAUGAAGUGGUUAGAAUGUGUAGUGUAGCGGUGAAAUGCAUAGAUAUUACACAGAAUACCAAUUGCGAAGGCAGAUCACUAAUAAUGUACUGACACUGAUGGACGAAAGCGUGGGUAGCGAACAGGAUUAGAUACCCUGGUAGUCCACGCCGUAAACGAUGGUCACUAGCUGUUCGGACUUCGGUCUGAGUGGCUAAGCGAAAGUGAUAAGUGACCCACCUGGGGAGUACGUUCGCAAGAAUGAAACCCAAAGGAAUUGACGGGGGCCCGCACAAGCGGUGGAGCAUGUGGUUUAAUUCGAUAAUACGCGAGGAACCUUACCAGGGCUUAAAUGUAGAGUGACAGGUCUAGAGAUAG
This 984-nucleotide ribosomal RNA is filed under the name uncultured bacterium. Its description in RNAcentral is "bacterial SSU rRNA". It matches the Rfam family "Bacterial small subunit ribosomal RNA", at positions 28 to 1009 of the family's 1533-position model. The record is from RNAcentral.